This 492-nucleotide ribosomal RNA is filed under the name uncultured bacterium. RNAcentral's name for it is "partial 16S ribosomal RNA". It matches the Rfam family "Bacterial small subunit ribosomal RNA", at positions 29 to 507 of the family's 1533-position model. The record is from RNAcentral.
AGUGAACGCUGGCGGUAGGCCUAACACAUGCAAGUCGAACGGCAGCACAGUAAGCGCUUGCUCUUACGGGUGGCGAGUGGCGGACGGGUGAGGAAUACAUCGGAAUCUACUUUUUCGUGGGGGAUAACGGAGGGAAACUUACGCUACUACCUCAUACGACCUACGGGUGAAAGCAGUAGAUCUUCGGAGCUUGCCCGUUUGUAUGAGCCGAUGUCGGAUUAGCUAGUUGGCGAGGUAAGGGCACACCAAGGCGACGAUCCGUAGCUGGUCUGAGAGGAUGAUCAGCCACACUGGAACUGAGACACGGUCCAGACUCCUACGGGAGGCAGCAGUGGGGAAUAUUGGACAAUGGGCGAAAGCCUGAUCCAGCAAUACCGCGUGGGUGAAGAAGGCCUUCGGGUUGUAAAGCCCUGUUGUUGGGAAAGAAAAGAAGUAGAUGAAUACACCGAUGUUCUGACGGUACCUAAAGAAUAAGCACCGGCUAACUUCGUG